This 842-nucleotide long non-coding RNA is filed under the name Notechis scutatus (mainland tiger snake). Its description in RNAcentral is "lncRNA (ENSNSUG00000006841.1)". Lineage: Eukaryota; Metazoa; Chordata; Lepidosauria; Squamata; Elapidae. The record is from RNAcentral.
GACUCCCGGAGCCCAGGUUAAUAAAUGAUAGCACCAAAUGGUCACUGUGUCCUACAACCCAUAAAUUGGUCCUUAAUUCCCUGGCAGACAGUCCUAUUUCCCUCAUUUUUCACAAGAACCUGGGCUGAUAGCACCACCAUGAAGUCUAUUGCCAUUCUCUUUUUCCUGGCCUUCCUCACAGGUUUUCAAGGUGCUGUCCUCAUUGAGGAGCCUCCUUCAUCGAUCUCGGAGCCUGAACAACAAUCCAUGCUGGAACGGUUGCAAGGCCAGUUUGGAAAACUUUCCGAUCAAGUUACCGAAACCAUAAAUGACGGUCUGAGCACAUUGAAAGGACAUCUCUCUGAUGCUCUGGCCUACUUAGCAGAAACGGGGAAAAAACACAUCCCACCCAAAUAUUUUAACCGCAAGGCUACUCACUUAGUCAAGGAUGCUCAACAGUAUGGCCAGUCUCUUCUUAAUCAAGGCAAGGAGGCGGUGAAGGAUCAAUUACAGAAAGUGGCGGACAUGGUAGAUGGGAUUAAGAAGUUGCCUCCUGUGCAAGCGGUGAACGAAGGGUUGAUCGAACCUGCCAUUGAGAGGGGCAACAAGUUGAUGUCCUUGGCUGGUGAGCAAAGCUUGGCUAGCAUUUCCAGCACAAUACAAAAGAACAUGAAGCACUGAAGGUCCCCAAUGGACACCCACAGCUGUCUGAGACUGUGGGCGAAGGGCAUGGUAAACUUAGAAGAAGAAGUGGAUAGGCUCGCUCGAGGAAGAACCCUGGUAUGGCUCCGCUGAGCCAGCCCUGCACCUCAUUGUAACUAUUAUCCACUUUCUGGAACAAUAAACACAGCAUGACAUGAACA